UACGGAGGGUGCAAGCGUUAUCCGGAUUUACUGGGUUUAAAGGGCGUGUAGGCGGGUCUUUAAGUCGGUGGUGAAAUCUCCGAGCUUAACUUGGAAACUGCCAUUGAUACUAUUGGUCUUGAAUUCUGUUGAGGUGGGCGGAAUAAGUCAUGUAGAGGUGAAAUUCGUAGAUAUUCGCAAGAACACCAGUGGCGAAGGCGGCUCACUGGCCCGGUACUGACGCUGAGGUGCGAAAGCGUGGGGAGCAAACAGG
RNAcentral lists this ribosomal RNA (253 nucleotides) under uncultured bacterium. RNAcentral's name for it is "partial 16S ribosomal RNA". It matches the Rfam family "Bacterial small subunit ribosomal RNA", at positions 524 to 776 of the family's 1533-position model. The record is from RNAcentral.